GUAUAAGAGACAGCAGUAGCCGCGGUAAUACGGAGGGUGCAAGCGUUAAUCGGAAUUACUGGGCGUAAAGCGCACGCAGGCGGUCUGACAAGUCAGAUGUGAAAUCCCCGGGCUUAACCUGGGAACUGCAUUUGAAACUGUCAGGCUGGAGUCUUGUAGAGGGGGGUGGAAUUCCAGGUGUAGCGGUGAAAUGCGUAGAGAUCUGGAGGAAUACCGGUGGCGAAGGCGGCCCCCUGGACAAAGACUGACGCUCAGGUGCGAAAGCGUGGGGAGCAAACAGGAUUAGAUACCCCUGUAGUCCCUGUCUCUUAUAC
RNAcentral lists this ribosomal RNA (314 nucleotides) under uncultured bacterium. Its description in RNAcentral is "partial 16S ribosomal RNA". It matches the Rfam family "Bacterial small subunit ribosomal RNA", at positions 495 to 807 of the family's 1533-position model. The record is from RNAcentral.